Gasterosteus aculeatus aculeatus (three-spined stickleback) is the source of this 711-nucleotide long non-coding RNA. RefSeq lists it as uncharacterized. Lineage: Eukaryota; Metazoa; Chordata; Actinopteri; Perciformes; Gasterosteidae. The record is from RefSeq and is a predicted model, not a curated record.
CCCCCCAUAUCAAUUAAAUAUAACUAAGGACACGCUGUUCUUUAGGAGCGCUCCUAUAGCGCUCAGCGCAGCGCUCAAACGGGAAGCAGAGCUUCUAAUACACCCCCCCUCUCCACUGACUCCGCUGAGCACCUGCCGGGAAGCCAGGGGCCUGAUAACCGUGGAGGGCGAGGUGGUCGAGCUGUCAGCUUUAAAAGAAAUCACGACAGGGAGAGACGUCGUUCCAUUGCGCAACGUCACGAUGCAGCAGGGGGAAUCACAGAUGUCGCUGUGUUUCUGGAGGGAGGCGGCCGUAUGGCAGCUGCAGGUGGGGCCCACAUUAAAGUUUCCCAUCUUAAAGCUGAGAGUUUAAACUAUGGGCUCAGACUCCAGUCCACAAACUUUUCCACCAUCGAGGAGGUACGCUCAGAGGACAUCGUGGGGGCACUCGGGGUGAUAGAGAUUGAGGGAGAUCCGGGGAACCUCAACCUUCUCCUAGAAGACGGCCGUACCGUCUUAAUUGAGGAGAGAUUGUGGGAGCCAAUCGAACUUGUUAUGAUCGAACCCGUAAUAAAAGUUCAAAUAAAAAUGACAGGAAACAAGGUGCAGGCGAUGGAAGUGGCGAAAAAUUUAAAUUUCUACUGUUAUAAAAUGUAUAUGUUUAUAAGAUUGUGUUCAUAAUGUAUCAGUUAUGUGUUCAUUUUGUUUUGACUUGUUACUUAUGUUCAAUUG